CGGGGUGUAGCGCAGUCCGGCUAGCGCGCCUGCUUUGGGAGCAGGAGGUCCCGGGUUCAAAUCCCGGCACCCCGACCA
Molecule: transfer RNA, 78 nt
Filed under: Planctomycetes bacterium RBG_16_59_8
Lineage: Bacteria; Pseudomonadati; Planctomycetota
Description: tRNA-Pro
Rfam family: tRNA
About the family: Transfer RNA (tRNA) molecules are approximately 80 nucleotides in length. Their secondary structure includes four short double-helical elements and three loops (D, anti-codon, and T loops).
Source: RNAcentral